AAAUCCACAGCAGCAGCGUGACAGAAGAUAUAUUAAAUCAGUCAGGGAACCCAUGAAGAGAGAAACUCUGUCUUUCAGCAGUAACAACAGAAAUUCAAAAGAUGAUGUUCUCUGCCUGUUAUUAUAAAAAUACUUCGUUUUGAGCUGGCCAUGACUGUGUUGUAUGAACAGUAUCACUCCUGAAUUGCUGCUGCAAUAUUUUGUGUUUAACCAGCUCCUAACCAAUGUUCACUCCUGCUUUGUCCAUCCCUGGUGAAGCUGCAUUCUCACCCUCUGAAAAUCAACACCAUUUUACCUGGCUGAUAAAAACGACCAAGUUCAAUAAAAGGUGAUAAUAAAAGGAUGAUUGUGUGGUAGUUAUCACUCUGUAGGUAUAACUGGUAACAGCAGGGAUUCCUGACAUAUCAGCCUUUCUUCAACAACUGCCAAUGCCACUUCUUUCUUAUGCUUUUGCUAGCAGAACUGAAUUGAUGGGCUAAGAAUGUACACACUUCAGCUGGCUUUAAUGAGUGCCAGAGA
Molecule: non-coding RNA, 519 nt
Organism: Cyanistes caeruleus (blue tit)
Lineage: Eukaryota; Metazoa; Chordata; Aves; Passeriformes; Paridae
Source: RefSeq, a predicted model, not a curated record